AACACUGUUUGGGAGACCUGAGUUCUGACGAUCUUCACAGCUGCUGCUCCGCCACGGGUAAGUUCAGCUUCACUAACAGGUAGAGACUGCUGUCACUAACAGGUAGAGACUGUUGUCACUAACGGGUAGAGACUGCUGUCACUAACAGUUAGAGACUGUUGUCACUAAUGGGUAGAGACUGCUGUCACUAACGGGUAGAGACUGUUGUCACUAACGGGUAGAGAAUGCUGUCA
This is a long non-coding RNA of Gadus macrocephalus (Pacific cod), 233 nucleotides long. RefSeq lists it as uncharacterized. The record is from RefSeq and is a predicted model, not a curated record. Lineage: Eukaryota; Metazoa; Chordata; Actinopteri; Gadiformes; Gadidae. The transcript has 2 exons.